GUGAACUUGAUGGAGGACAGAACCUCAGCAGGAAUGUAUACGAGGGGAUGGCGGCGCAUCCAUGGACUGCUAUUGAUGCUGUACUUUGUUCGUGCAUCAAUAUCCCCUCUGGCCAUGGCAGAUGUCAGCUGAGUGAGGUCAAAAGGUCCCAUUUACUUGUGCUGAUGUGUACACGGUACAUGUACUCCACACACUUCCUUCGAUGAUGGAAAGCUUGACCCAACUUCCCCUUAAAUCCACAAGACAGGCCACUCACUGGCUGUAAAAGCCAGAAUACUGCCAAGGAAUUCUGACAUGUGGUAAAUUAUUUGAGGAAUAAAUGUGACAAAAGAGGGACGAAAAUAACAGGGCCAGCCGCUGGUUUGUAAGCAGAGGAUUUCCUGAAUGAUUUCUGUUGUUCAUGAUAUUCUGGAUGUAUGAAUUGUGUUUCCUUGUCUUCUAUUCAGUGAUACUUCCUGAAAGAUCUUUUGUAUUUAACAUGCAUGCUGAUGAAAACACACUCUUGAUGUGCUAAUA
Molecule: long non-coding RNA, 516 nt
Organism: Oryzias melastigma (Indian medaka)
Lineage: Eukaryota; Metazoa; Chordata; Actinopteri; Beloniformes; Adrianichthyidae
Exons: 3
Source: RefSeq, a predicted model, not a curated record